GACGAACGCUGGCGGCGUGCCUAAUACAUGCAAGUCGAACGCACUCUCGUUUAGAUUGAAGGAGCUUGCUCCUGAUUGAUAAACAUUUGAGUGAGUGGCGGACGGGUGAGUAACACGUGGGUAACCUGCCCUAAAGUGGGGGAUAACAUUUGGAAACAGAUGCUAAUACCGCAUAAAACCUAACACCGCAUGGUGUAGGUUGAAAGAUGGUUUCGGCUAUCACUUUAGGAUGGACCCGCGGUGCAUUAGUUAGUUGGUGAGGUAAAGGCUCACCAAGACCGUGAUGCAUAGCCGACCUGAGAGGGUAAUCGGCCACACUGGGACUGAGACACGGCCCAGACUCCUACGGGAGGCAGCAGUAGGGAAUCUUCCACAAUGGACGAAAGUACUGAUGGAGCAACGACCGCGUGAGUGAAGAAGGUUUACGGUAUCGUAAAACUACUGUUGUUGGUAGAAGAAUAGUAUCUGAUAGUAACUAG
RNAcentral lists this ribosomal RNA (479 nucleotides) under uncultured bacterium. RNAcentral's name for it is "bacterial SSU rRNA". It matches the Rfam family "Bacterial small subunit ribosomal RNA", at positions 28 to 482 of the family's 1533-position model. The record is from RNAcentral.